This 497-nucleotide ribosomal RNA is filed under the name uncultured bacterium. RNAcentral's name for it is "partial 16S ribosomal RNA". It matches the Rfam family "Bacterial small subunit ribosomal RNA", at positions 28 to 507 of the family's 1533-position model. The record is from RNAcentral.
GACGAACGCUGGCGGCGUGCCUAAUACAUGCAAGUCGAGCGAACAGAUAAGGCGCUUGUUCCUUUGACGUUAGCGGCGGACGGGUGAGUAACACGUGGGUAAUCUACCUAUAAGACUGGAAUAACUCCGGGAAACCGGUGCUAAUCCCGGAUAACAUCUAGCACCGCACUGUUCUAAAGUGAAAGAUGGUUUUGCUAUCACUUAUAGAUGGACCCGGGCCGUAUUAGCUAGUUGUGAAGUUAACGGCUUACCACGGCAACCAUACGUAGCCGACCUGAGAGGGGGAUCGGCCACACUGGAACUGAGACACGGACAAGAGUCCUACGGGAGGCAGCAGUAGGGAAUCUUCCGCAAUGGGGGAAAGCCUGACGGAGCAACGCCGCGUGAGUGAUGAAGGUCUUCGGAUCGUAAAACUCUGUUAUUAGGGAAGAACAAAUGUGUAAGUAACUGUGCACGUCUUGACGGUACCUAAUCAGAAAGCCACGGCUAACUACGUG